CCGCUCAGGCCACAGCAACCGCUAGAGUAGGAGAGAUAACGAGUGGUGUCUCUGGCUUUUAGGCAGUGUUCCAGUCCAUUCUGCCCUCCUAAGUACGCGAGUGUUUUUGUUUUUUUGGACAAAGGCAGCGGGGGGGCGGGAAAAGCUCCGUUUCCAUGACAACUGCGUGGGUGAGGUGAAGGGGCGUUAGGAAACCUCUUUGCUGCCUUCCAUUCCCGCCUCUGUGCUGCGGUGCUUGGGAACUGACACCUCCCACAGGUUGGGGCGGGGCACCGUGGGGAUAUUCCGCUCCAGCCAGACGCGGUAACCAUAGCAACUCCGCAACCUUCCAGCGUUGUCUAGGAAGUUCCCAGUCUACGCCUUUACGUCGUGGCUCGGGUAGGGAGAUGUGAGGAGUUUUUUGAUGGAUAGGUGGGGCGAUCUUGACCCGGGCCCCUUCUAAGCCCUCCCGAGUGCUGGGAUUACAGGCGUGCGCCACCACACCUGGCUGAGACUGUGCCUGUUGUUUUCACGAGCAUCGAGGAAGCCCGUGGUGCUGGAGUGAAGGGAGCCAGGUCCUACAGGCCCCUCGCAGAGGAAGGUUCUCUCUAAGUCAUGAAGUUGCCCAGAUGGGGCUGGAGCUUGUGAUCCUGCUGCCUCAGAAAAAGCUGGCACGACGGACUUGUUUUUUUGAGAGGGGUCUCACGGUGUCGCCCGGGUUGACCUCAAACUUGAGAUCCUCCUGCGUUAGCCUCAGCUUCCUGUAUAUUCUGUGAACACACCAGAUCAUCAGCGCCACUGUGGGACCUCUGAACUUGUGGUGUCCUCUGCCUCGCGCAGCCUUCCCCAGAAGAGAGUCAUUUCUAGAUUCCAUUUGGACUCAGAUGUCAUGCCGGUGUGACAGCUCUGAAUGAACAGCCUUCCCACCAGUGGCUCCAAGAGGGUGCUUAAUAAAUAUUUGUGGAACAAAGCUGGGUGUGGCAGUUCACACUUGCAGUCUAGCACUCUGAGAGGCUGA
Chinchilla lanigera (long-tailed chinchilla) is the source of this 997-nucleotide long non-coding RNA. RefSeq lists it as uncharacterized. NCBI's taxonomy places the organism in Eukaryota, Metazoa, Chordata, Mammalia, Rodentia, Chinchillidae. The transcript has 4 exons. The record is from RefSeq and is a predicted model, not a curated record.